Caenorhabditis elegans is the source of this 149-nucleotide non-coding RNA. NCBI's taxonomy places the organism in Eukaryota, Metazoa, Nematoda, Chromadorea, Rhabditida, Rhabditidae. The record is from Ensembl.
CCGGCUACCACAUAUUCGGCCAGCUACGCGCAAUUUCUCGACGACUCCACCCGUUCCAUUCUCUCUCAGCCUCGCAUUGAACAUUAAAAGAGAAUGUGGAGAGAUAGGAGGGAGUGUAGAGACGCAGAUGGUUGAAGGAGUGCACACAC